This 315-nucleotide long non-coding RNA is filed under the name Physeter macrocephalus (sperm whale). RNAcentral describes it as "Physeter catodon (sperm whale) lncRNA (ENSPCTG00005001651.1)". Lineage: Eukaryota; Metazoa; Chordata; Mammalia; Artiodactyla; Physeteridae. The record is from RNAcentral.
GCAGCUUUGUGGGAAAUGUAGUCCGGCUUCCCGGGGUGGAGAUGCUGGGAGGGGCGGCAUUGGUCCGCUGGUUGCUCUGGCUCCUGGUGGGAGAGGCUCUGCCUCCUGUGAUCCUGCCCAUCCCCUGGGAAGGACACCACAGGAAGGAAGGAGAAGGCAAUGGCUGCUGGGCCUCUACUAUUGGGAGUUGAGGGCAUCAGCUUUCCAAACCAAAUGUGAUAUCUCAGCUGGAUUGAGAACUGAGCCUGAUGACAAAAGAACAUCCAGGGUGCAUUUCCCCAGGUAAGGAUCUGGCUGCAAGAACUUGUUCCAUGA